CCUACGGGUGGCAGCAGUGAGGAAUAUUGGUCAAUGGCCGCAAGGCUGAACCAGCCAAGUCGCGUGAGGGAUGACGGUCCUAUGGAUUGUAAACCUCUUUUGUCAGGGAGCAAAGGGCGCCACGUUUGGCGUUUUGCGGGUACCUCACGAAAAAGCAUCGGCUAACUCCGUGCCAGCAGCCGCGGUAAUACGGAGGAUGCGAGCGUUAUCCUGCUUUAUUGGGUUUAAGGGGUUCGCAGGCGGACUGUGAUGUACGCGGUAAAAUUUCGGGGCUCAACCCCGUGGUGCCGUUGAAACUGGCGUUCUUGAGUGAGCGAGAAGUAUGCGGAAUGCGUGGUGUAGCGGUGAAAUGCAUAGAUAUCACGCAGAACUCCGAUUGCGAAGGCAGCAUACCGGCGCUCAACUGACGCUCAUGCACGAAAGCGUGGGUAUCGAACAGGAUUAGAUACCCUAGUAGUC
RNAcentral lists this ribosomal RNA (459 nucleotides) under uncultured bacterium. RNAcentral describes it as "partial 16S ribosomal RNA". It matches the Rfam family "Bacterial small subunit ribosomal RNA", at positions 338 to 795 of the family's 1533-position model. The record is from RNAcentral.